GGGCCCGUAGCUCAGUCGGUCAGAGCACCUCGUUUACACCGAGGGGGUCAGCGGUUCGAGCCCGCUCGGGCCCA
This is a non-coding RNA of Agrococcus jejuensis, 74 nucleotides long. NCBI's taxonomy places the organism in Bacteria, Bacillati, Actinomycetota, Actinomycetes, Micrococcales, Microbacteriaceae. The record is from Rfam.